UGGGGAAUAUUGCACAAUGGGCGAAAGCCUGAUGCAGCAACGCCGCGUGAGUGAUGAAGGCCUUCGGGUUGUAAAGCUCUGUCUUCUGGGACGAUAAUGACGGUACCAGAGGAGGAAGCCACGGCUAACUACGUGCCAGCAGCCGCGGUAAUACGUAGGUGGCAAGCGAUGUCCGGAUUUACGGGGCGUAAAGGAUGCGUAGGCGGAUACUUAAGUCAGAUGUGAAAAUCCCGGGCUGAACUUGGGAACUGCAUUUGAAACUGGGUAUCUAGAGUGCGGGAGAGGAAAGUGGAAUUCCUAGUGUAGCGGUGAAAUGCGUAGAGAUUAGGAAGAACACCAGUGGCGAAGGCGACUUUCUGGACCGUAACUGACGCUGAGGCAUGAAAGCGUGGGGAGCAAACA
RNAcentral lists this ribosomal RNA (402 nucleotides) under uncultured bacterium. RNAcentral describes it as "bacterial SSU rRNA". It matches the Rfam family "Bacterial small subunit ribosomal RNA", at positions 355 to 774 of the family's 1533-position model. The record is from RNAcentral.